Molecule: long non-coding RNA, 472 nt
Organism: Poeciliopsis prolifica (blackstripe livebearer)
Lineage: Eukaryota; Metazoa; Chordata; Actinopteri; Cyprinodontiformes; Poeciliidae
Exons: 3
Source: RefSeq, a predicted model, not a curated record
CAGCAAUUGAAUAAUUCCAGUUUUGGAUGGUUAUGCAACAAGGUGGUGAUACGAUCCUUGCAACUUGUACGCUGGAACACCCAACAGCCUAUUAGGAGAGACGUCGUUUCAUUUGUGACACACAUUAUGGAAACUUCCUGAGUGGCAGAUGGUGGGCAGUCGCCUUCUGCAAUGCUAUACCAAUGUCUCCAUCUAGUGGUCUGCAGCGCACUGCAACAGGCAGAUCGAAAUGAGUUCAAAAUGGAUUGUAAGUCACAAGAUAUCUCUACAAACCUUCUUGCACCUUAUGUCUUAAGACCCUGUAUGCACAUGGGUCUAUCUCUGUCACCACUAUCUUAAUUGUGGGAACCCUAACCCCUUAAAAGAUAACUGCAUUUCCUACAACUCAACGGUCCACAUUGAGAAAAUCAACAUGGACCAAAGGUUUUGCUCAGGACUCUUACAACCCUGGAGUGAUACUGUGGGGGCAAAG